Molecule: unclassified non-coding RNA, 240 nt
Filed under: soil metagenome
Description: partial contains 5.8S ribosomal RNA, internal transcribed spacer 2, and large subunit ribosomal RNA
Source: RNAcentral
AACCAUAGAAACCUGCGGAGUACCUGCGGAGGGAUCAUUACCGAGUUAGGGUAGUCACUCACUGCCCGACCUCCCAACCCUGUGUCUAUCACACUUUGUUGCUUCGGCGGACCGGUUGACCAACUGGUCAUGACCGCCGGGGGCUGGCUCUGGCCCCCCUGGAGAGCGUCCGCCGAUGGCCCAACCACAAAACUCUUGUACCGAAACGUGUCGUCUGAAUUAUAUUUGAGAAAUCAAAAA